This 348-nucleotide long non-coding RNA is filed under the name Homo sapiens (human). Its description in RNAcentral is "non-protein coding lnc-STRBP-14:1". The record is from RNAcentral. Lineage: Eukaryota; Metazoa; Chordata; Mammalia; Primates; Hominidae.
AGAGAAAAAGGGGUUGGUAACUGGUUAAUGACUGUUGUCCCAAUAAAGUUAAUAUUGAAAGACUGUGGGACACUGCCAUGAAUGUGGUACUCAAAAUAUAUUUAAAUCAGGAUUUUAAAGCCCCCACUCUUGGAGAGUGGUACUUUUCAUAUUCGAAUAAUUUUAUUUUUCUUUGGGAAAAGAUGAUAAGACAUGAAUGUUUAUGUGUAAGGAAAACAUCAGUAUUAAGAAAAUGGGUUUAUUUAAUUGAUUUAUUAAAUUGGUUUAUUGCAGUUUUUAUUUACAGAGAACAUUGCUUGUUUUUCCCUCCCUCUUCCUGUCCUCCCCUUCUCAAAUUAAGAAGUAGAU